CCUCGUAUCCAAUCAUACUAAUAUAAUCCUUGUGUGGUUUUCCUUCUUCAGCUAGAUUCCUCCUAUCCAAAAUCUACAUCCAGGAAUACCUAUACUCCAUAUCUCUUUCCAAACAAUGUGACAGAAGGUCACAGCAAAAUUUGCAAUUAGUAUGAUACCUAACAUCUAAAUUUCCAUUAUUCACAUUAAGCUACCUAUCCAGAACAAGGUUAACUCUAAUGUUGUCCUAUUAAACAAGUCAAGUGCUUCUGUAAAAGCCAGGCAAUACCAUCACCUAUGGUACGAGUAUCAAAUUUACAGCCAUUG
RNAcentral lists this long non-coding RNA (306 nucleotides) under Elaeis guineensis (African oil palm). RNAcentral's name for it is "long non-coding RNA (EGUI_LNC007259)". Lineage: Eukaryota; Viridiplantae; Streptophyta; Magnoliopsida; Arecales; Arecaceae. The record is from RNAcentral.